This 2299-nucleotide ribosomal RNA is filed under the name human gut metagenome. Its description in RNAcentral is "bacterial LSU rRNA". It matches the Rfam family "Bacterial large subunit ribosomal RNA", at positions 3 to 2306 of the family's 2925-position model. The record is from RNAcentral.
UCAAGCUACAAAGAGCAUAUGGAGGAUGCCUUGGCACCAAGCGCCGAUGAAGGACGUGAUAAGCUGCGAAAAGCUACGGUGAGUUGCAAAUGAACUAUGACCCGUAGAUAUCCGAAUGUGGGAACACAACAGUGGUUAUGCACUGUUAUCAUUAUUUCGAAUCAAAUAGAGUAAUGAAGGGAACCCAGGGAACUGAAACAUCUAAGUACCUGGAGGAAAAGAAAGUAAAUCAACGAUUGCGAAAGUAGUGGCGAGCGAAAUUGCAACAGCCCAAACCUGUUUCGGAAACGAAACAGGGGUUAGGACCCCAAUAUGGGAGACACAGAUAGAUAGACGAGCAUUUCUGGAAAGUAAGACAAAACAGGGUAACAGUCCCGUAGUCGAAAUCUAUCUUGCCCCUAGGGAGUUCCAGAGUAGCACAGGACACGUGGAAUCCGGUGUGAAUGUGGGAGGACCAUCUCCUAAGGCUAAAUACGACUUGGUGACCGAUAGCGAAUAGUACCGUGAGGGAACGGUGAAAAGAACCCCGGGAGGGGAGUGAAAAAGAACCUGAAACCGUAUGUUUACAAUCGGAGAGAGCGAAAGCGAUCUCGUACUUUUUGUAGAACGGGCCGGCGAGUUACUUUGCGUAGCGAGGUUAAGUGGUUAAGCCACGGAGCCGAAGCGAAAGCGAGUUUGAAAGAGCGAAUUUUAGUUGCGUGAAGUAGACCCGAAACCAGAUGAUCUAGUCAUGAGCAGGUUGAAACCGUGGUAACACACGGCGGAGGACCGAACCCACGCCUGUUGAAAUAGUCGGGGAUGACUUGUGACUAGCGGAGAAAUUCCAAUCGAAUCUGGAUAUAGCUGGUUCUCCUCGAAAUAGCUUUAGGGCUAGCCUCUGCAUAUAGGUUACUGGGGGUAGAGCACUGAAUGGGCUAGGGGCCUUCACGGGUUACCAAACCUUAUCAAACUCCGAAUACCAGAUAACUGUUAGCAGGGAGUCAGACAGUGUGAGAUAAGUUUCAUUGUCAAAACGGGAACAGCCGAGACCUACAACUAAGGUCCCAAAGUAUAUGUUAAGUGGAAAAGGAUGUGUUGUCGCAUAAACAACCAGGAUGUUGGCUUAGAAGCAGCCAUUCAUUAAAAGAGUGCGUAAUAGCUCACUGGUCGAGUAACAAUGCGCCGAAAAUGUAACGGGGCUAAAACAUAACACCGAAGUUUAGGAAUGAAUGUUUACAUUCAUUGGUAGAGGAGCAAUGUCUAUUGGGCUGAAGUCAAAUCGGAAGGUUUGAUGGACUAUAGACAAGAGAGAAUGCCGGCAUGAGUAGCGAGAGCAUAGCGAGAAACUAUGCCGUCGAAAGUCUGAGGUUUCCUGGGGAAGGGUAAUCCGCCCAGGGUAAGUCAGGGACUAAGCUGAGGCCGAAAGGCGUAGGCGAUGACAAACUGGUAGAUAUUCCAGUACCACCAAAUUACGAUAAAGAACUGAUGCAGUGACACAGUAGGAUAGUGAAAACACGAUGAUGGAUAGUCGUGGCCAAAUCAUGAGGGGUCUAAUUUGUAAAGUACGGUUAGAGCGCACCCUAGGUGAUGAUGGGGAGUGAAAUUUAGUAACGAAGUUCCAUGAAUCACACUGGCGAGAAAAGCUGCUAAGGAGUAAUUGGGUGCCUGUACCGCAAACCGACACAGGUAGACGAUGAGAGAAUCAUAAGAUGAUCGGGAUAACGCUUGUUAAGGAACUCGGCAAAAUGACCCCGUAACUUCGGAAUAAGGGGUGCCAGUCGUAAGGCUGGCCGCAGAUAAUCGGCCCAAGCAACUGUUUAUCAAAAACACAGGUUUCUGCUAAAUCGCAAGAUGAAGUAUAGGAGCUGACGCCUGCCCGGUGCUGGAAGGUUAAGAGGAGAUGUUAGCGCAAGCGAAGCGUUGAAUUUAAGCCCCAGUGAACGGCGGCCGUAACUAUAACGGUCCUAAGGUAGCGAAAUUCCUUGUCAGGUAAGUUCUGACCCGCAUGAAUGGCGUAAUGAUUUGGGCACUGUCUCAACAGGGGACCCGGCGAAAUUGAAGUAUGCGUGAAGAUGCUAGUUACCCGCGACUAGACGGAAAGACCCCGUAGAGCUUUACUGUAAUUUGGUAUUGGAUUUCGGAAUUUAAUGUACAGGAUAAGUGGGAGGCUUUGAAGCAAGAACGUCAGUUUUUGUGGAGCCAACCUUGGGAUACCAUCUUUGCAAUUUUGAGGUUCUAACACCAGGCUGUUAUCCAGCUGGUGGACAUUGUCUGAUGGGCAGUUUGACUGGGGCGGUCGCCUCCUAAAGAGUAACGGAGG